This 241-nucleotide ribosomal RNA is filed under the name Salmonella enterica subsp. enterica serovar Kentucky. RNAcentral describes it as "partial 23S ribosomal RNA". It matches the Rfam family "Bacterial large subunit ribosomal RNA", at positions 396 to 634 of the family's 2925-position model. The record is from RNAcentral. Lineage: Bacteria; Pseudomonadati; Pseudomonadota; Gammaproteobacteria; Enterobacterales; Enterobacteriaceae.
GCUGUGAGCUCGAUGAGUAGGGCGGGACACGUGGUAUCCUGUCUGAAUAUGGGGGGACCAUCCUCCAAGGCUAAAUACUCCUGACUGACCGAUAGUGAACCAGUACCGUGAGGGAAAGGCGAAAAGAACCCCGGCGAGGGGAGUGAAAAAGAACCUGAAACCGUGUACGUACAAGCAGUGGGAGCACAGGUUUACCUGUGUGACUGCGUACCUUUUGUAUAAUGGGUCAGCGACUUAUAUU